This 133-nucleotide ribosomal RNA is filed under the name Rhinonyssus vanellus. RNAcentral's name for it is "5.8S ribosomal RNA". It matches the Rfam family "5.8S ribosomal RNA". From Rfam's summary of the family: 5.8S ribosomal RNA (5.8S rRNA) is a component of the large subunit of the eukaryotic ribosome. The record is from RNAcentral. Lineage: Eukaryota; Metazoa; Arthropoda; Arachnida; Mesostigmata; Rhinonyssidae.
UCAAUAUGGAGGAUCACUUAGUCCUUGAAGCGAUGAAAAACAUAGCAAUUUGUGGAAACUGAUGUGAGUUGUGAACUCUUAUGAUCAUUGUGUAUUUGAAUGAGAAUUUCGGCACGAGUACUUCGGUAUUUGC